AGACAGACUGUGAAAAAGGAGUUUUUUUGGUGAUUACUAAAGAGAAACCGGUCUUCUCUCCCUUUAGUCAAAUGACAAAGAGCUGGGGCAGUUGGAUAAAAGCCUUUUAACAACCUGAACGAGAGGAACAGGGAAACCUGCUCCUUUAGCUGUGGCAAAGAUGUGGCAGGUCACAUCUCAGGCCUUUGCUGGUAGCCGCAUGUGGGGGGUGGCCACGUACUUUGAAUCAUUAGCACGUCAAUUAUACUAUCACGCUGGCUACUCCUAGUUCACUGCACAGAGGGAUGUUCUCCUUUCACUCUACCCUUUUUUUCAUCACUCAGCUCCAGUUGUACCUUCUUUGAGAAGCUUCUACAAACAGCCCAGUUGGAAGUGGUCUGUCCCCACUCUUAAUCCUCUUGUUUCUCACCGUUACGCUCUUAGUUUUCUAUUGUUACAUGGGAGUUGUCCACGAGGAUACAUGCAUAAGUAUGAGAAUAUAUACCCCUUCCUCAGCAAUUAGCACAGACAAUUGAAUCAAGCAGUACAAAGGUUUUCAGUUUUAGGUUUACCUGAUUACCCUUUACUAUACUCAAAUGUAUCCCAAUACUUCUGCACUCCUAAAUCAACUGACAACCUUUAAGCAUAUGCUCUUUUGCUAGGUCUUGAAGAGGAGGCACAACUGCCUUCAUAUGAGUCCAGUGUGUGUUGUCAAAAUGUAACUUUUGAAUUGUUCUAAAGCCACAGUAAGAGAAUUACAUUUAUGGACAAUCUUCAAUUAUGUUCAGUGGCAAGGAGCAGAGAACCCACAGGCAAUUGAAAUCUCUACUAAUAAUUUUGGCUAACAAGGCAUUGUGCUUACGGUUUCCAGAGUGCUCUUCACAUACAUUAUCUGCAGCUACAGAUAAUUUGAAAUUCUCAAUCUGCCUGAGUUGCAAUUCCCUCUCCAUUAAACCUUUUGUCAGAGCUAUCAACAAAGAGUAAAGUGGAUCAUUUAUGUUUCCUCUCUAUUCUCCAGUCACAUUUUGCAGUAGAAAUGUGAAUAAGGAAAAGCUUAGCUAAAAGGCAGGAAGGCACAAGAAAAAUCAUCAGAAGCCUGGACAAGCUCUUUUCUAAAUACAGUCAUGCAUCACUUAAUGACUGGGAUAUGUUCUGAGAAAUGUGUCAUGAGGUGAUUUUGUCAUUGUGUGAGCACCACAGUGUGUACUUACACAAACCUAGAUGGUAUAGCCUGCUACACACCUAGGCUAUUUGGUAUAGCCUACUGCUCCUAGGCUACAUACCUAUACAGCAGGUUAUUAUACUCAGUACUGUAGGCAAUUGUAAUAAUGGUAUUUGUGUAUCUUAACAUAUCUAAACAUAGAAAAGGUAAAAAUAUGGUAUAGAAUUUUUUUUUUUUAUGUUACACCUGUAUAGGGCACUUAGCCAUGAAUAGAGCUUUCAAGAUUAGAAAUUACUGUGAGUGGUGAGUGAAUGUGGAGGCCUAAUAUUACUGUAUACUCCUACAUACUUUAUAAACACUGUACACUUAGAUUACACUAAGUUUCUUAAAUUUUUUCUUCAAUGAUAAAUUACCUUAUUUUACUGUAAAAGCUUUUAAUUUUUUUAACUUUUACUCUUUUGUUAUGACACUUAGCUUAAAGCACACAUUGUAUAGCUGUAACAGUUAUUUCCUUUAUAGCCAUAUUCUAUAAACUUUUUUCUAUUUUAAAAAUGUUUAAUUUUUUAAAUCUUUGUUAUAAACUAAGGUACAAUUACACACAUUGGCCUAUGUCUAUAUAGAGUCAAGAUCAUUAAUAUCACUGUCUUCCACUCCACAUCUUGUCCUAUUGGAAGGUCUUUAGGGGCAAUAACAUGCAUGGAGCUGUCACCUUCUGGAGGACUUGCCUGAGGCUGUUUUACAGUUAACUUUUCUAAGUAGAAGGAAUGCACUCUAAAAUAAUGAUAAAAAGUAUUGUAUAGUAAGUGCAUAAACCGGUAAUACUUAUUAGCAAGUAUUAUGUACUGUACGUAAGUGUAUAACCUAGACUUUUUACAGCUCAGUAGGUUUGUUUACACCAGUAUAAUCACAGACAUAGUGAGUAAUGUGUUGUGCUACAAUGUUACAAUUGUUCUGUCACUAGGCAAUAGUAAUUUUUCUGCUCCAUUAUAAUCUUAAGGGACCACUGUGAUAUAUGAGGUCUAUCACUGACCAAAAUGUCAUUAUGUGGUGCAUGACUGUAUUUGAAACUCGGCCCAAAUUAAAAUCUCUUUGAAAAAACA
This is a long non-coding RNA of Gorilla gorilla gorilla (western lowland gorilla), 2241 nucleotides long. RefSeq lists it as uncharacterized. The record is from RefSeq and is a predicted model, not a curated record. NCBI's taxonomy places the organism in Eukaryota, Metazoa, Chordata, Mammalia, Primates, Hominidae. The transcript has 2 exons.